AACGUAGGUACCGAGCGUUAUCCGGAUUCACUGGGCGUAAAGCGCGUGCAGGUGGUUUGGUAAGUCGGGCAUGAAAACUCUUGGCUCAACUAAGAGACGCUGUCCGAUACUGCCGGACUUGAGGGUGUAAGAGGGAGGUGGAAUUCCGCAUGUAGUGGUGAAAUGCGUAGAUAUGCGGAGGAACACCAGUGGCGAAGGCGGCCUCCUGGUACACUCCUGACACUCAGACGCGAAAGCUAGGGGAGCGAACGGGAUUAGAAACCCCGGUAGUCCUAGCCGUAAACGAUGAUUACUAGGUGUUAGUGGUAUCAAGCCCACUAGUGCCGAAGCUAACGCGAUAAGUAAUCCGCCUGGGGACUACGAUCGCAAGAUUAAA
This 376-nucleotide ribosomal RNA is filed under the name uncultured bacterium. RNAcentral's name for it is "bacterial SSU rRNA". It matches the Rfam family "Bacterial small subunit ribosomal RNA", at positions 524 to 898 of the family's 1533-position model. The record is from RNAcentral.